RNAcentral lists this ribosomal RNA (332 nucleotides) under uncultured bacterium. RNAcentral describes it as "bacterial SSU rRNA". It matches the Rfam family "Bacterial small subunit ribosomal RNA", at positions 568 to 898 of the family's 1533-position model. The record is from RNAcentral.
UGCGUAGGCUGUUUAGUGUGUGUGUCUGUCAAGCUGACGGCUCAACCGUCGGAAUCGGACGCAAACUGCUAGACUAGAGUCUGCUAGGGGCAGGUGGAAUUCCAGGUGUAGUGGUGAAAUAUAUAGAUAUCUGGAGGAACACCCGUGGCGAAGGCGACCUGCUGGGGCUAGACUGACGCUGAGGCACGAAAGCCAGGGGAGCAAACGGGAUUAGAUACCCCGGUAGUCCUGGCUGUAAACGUUGUUCACUCGGUGAUAGGGGCGUCGAUCCUUCUAUUGCCUAAGCUAACGUGAUAAGUGAACCGCCUGGGGAGUAUGCGCGCAAGCGUGAA